AACGAACGCUGGCGGCAUGCCUAACACAUGCGAGUCGAACGAGACCUUCGGGUCUAGUGGCGCACGGGUGCGUAACGCGUGGGAACCUGCCCUUAGGUUCGGAAUAACUCCCCGAAAGGGGUGCUAAUACCGGAUAAUGUCUUCGGAUCAAAGAUUUAUCGCCUUUGGAUGGGCCCGCGUUGGAUUAGCUAGUUGGUAGGGUAAAAGCCUACCAAGGCGACGAUCCAUAGCUGGUCUGAGAGGAUGAUCAGCCACACUGGGACUGAGACACGGCCCAGACUCCUACGGGAGGCAGCAGUGGGGAAUAUUGGACAGUGGGCGAAAGCCUGAUCCAGCAAUGCCGCGUGAGUGAUGAAGGCCUUAGGGUUGUAAAGCUCUUUUACCCGGGAUGAUAAUGACAGUACCGGGAGAAUAAGCUCCGGCUAACUCCGUG
Molecule: ribosomal RNA, 433 nt
Filed under: uncultured bacterium
Lineage: Bacteria
Description: partial 16S ribosomal RNA
Rfam family: Bacterial small subunit ribosomal RNA
Source: RNAcentral